CUGGCUUCUUGGCCUUUUGGCUAAGAUCAAGUGUAGUAUCUGUUCUUAUCAGUUUAAUAUCUGAUACAUCUUGUAUCCAGGGACAAUAUAGUAAGUGGGUUUUUUAGAUAUACUAAUU
This 118-nucleotide small nuclear RNA is filed under the name Fukomys damarensis (Damara mole-rat). RNAcentral describes it as "U2 spliceosomal RNA". It matches the Rfam family "U2 spliceosomal RNA". Rfam says of the family: U2 is a small nuclear RNA (snRNA) component of the spliceosome (involved in pre-mRNA splicing). Lineage: Eukaryota; Metazoa; Chordata; Mammalia; Rodentia; Bathyergidae. The record is from Rfam by way of RNAcentral.